Non-coding RNA from Myodes glareolus (Bank vole), 791 nucleotides. The record is from RefSeq and is a predicted model, not a curated record. NCBI's taxonomy places the organism in Eukaryota, Metazoa, Chordata, Mammalia, Rodentia, Cricetidae.
GAGACUGAACAGGGAACCAGGGAGCCUGUGCAGAACUGAUGUAGGCCCUCUGCGUAUAUGUGACAGUUGUGUAGCUUGGUCUCGUGGGACUCCUAACAGUGGGAGCAGGGAUUGUCUCUCACUCUUUCCUGGCUUUUGGGAACCUGCUCGUUAUGCUGGAUUGCCUUGCCCACCUUUACUGUAUAAAACCAGUACACAAGGCAAGGCGCUUUGUCUUACUGCGACUUGAUAUGCCAUGGGAGACCUGCCCUCUUCUGAAUAGAAAAGGAAGAUAAGUGGAUCAGGAAGAGAGUUUGCUUCUCUGUUGCUGUGAUUAAACACUGACCAACACUAACUCAGGGAAGGAAAGAUUUGUCUUACAACUGCCAGGUCCCAAUUUGUCCUUGAGGGAAGUCCGGGCAAGAAUUCAAAAAUUCCUGGAUGAUUAUUAAAGAACAACUUGAAGUGAGGGACCCACUCUGGACAUGAAUAGCACCAUCCCAUGGACUGGAUCCUGGUGAUAAUUCAAAUAGGAAAACAAAGAAGCCUGGUAACAGCCAUUCUCUCUCUGUGAGACUGCACAGCCCCUGCUACUCUCUCCUGAUGCCUCAGUAGUCUGCUUUGGCUCAGGAUUAAAGCAGUCAUCCACUCCAUCCGGAACAGAAUCUUCUGAAACUAGUAAAACCAAAUCCUUCAUUUCUUAAGUCGUUCCUUUCUGCAUGUGUCAAAUCAAUGAAAAGUUAGCCUGAUAUUCCGUGGGACUCCCAACAAGGAGUGUGGGACUGUCUCUGACUCUUUUGCCUGCACUUGGA